Poecilia formosa (Amazon molly) is the source of this 111-nucleotide microRNA precursor. Lineage: Eukaryota; Metazoa; Chordata; Actinopteri; Cyprinodontiformes; Poeciliidae. The record is from Ensembl.
AAAAAGGCUCCAGUGGUGCAAUCAGCCAGCGCACAGUACUUAUAAGACAGUAACAUGCAAAGUGAUGCUGAGGUUGUGAGUUCAAACCUCACCUGGAGCAGGUUUUUUUUC